GGAAAGUCAGCCUGUGUACCGGAAAGUCUCAGCAGAGGGUAGGCUCUGGAAAGAGCUAUUUAACCUGACGUAUGUCACCAAGUGACUCAGCCUCUCCUGAGUUCUGACUAGGCUGCAAAGACAGAUGUCUGGGGCUCUUUGGGUUCAUGGAUUAUUGACAAGUAACCCUCUUCCCCAUUUCCUUGGGGUGCUGAGUCCUGUGUUGAGCUAGCACUUUGGCCAAAGGAAGUUUGCAAGAGACUGGUAUUUCAUCAGCUCCUCGAGCAGAAUGACUCACCUGUUACUAAAUGGACACUCACAAAGCCAGGAAAGCUCCAGGAAGUCUGGGAUCUGCAGUUCAAGGCCACCACAUCACCGGCCCCCCGUGGAGUGAGUGGGACCCAGGAGAUGGGUCUGAAGGAGGAAGAAGGGCAGCUGGAAGAGACAGAGCCCCUUUCCAACAGGGCCAGAGGGAGGUCACCUUGGAGACCCCUGGAUGGUACCAUUUGCCUUCUCACUUUUGAAAUGUGGAGCUCCAAGAACCAAAAAUGAGCAACUCUUUCUAGCAACACUGUAAUCUUCCAAGAUGCAUUUAUGGAAAAUUCUCCAUGAGGUGAGCAGGCCUCCUCCACCGAGUGCUCCUGCUAUGCUGUACUCUGCUGCCACAGGCGAAGCAAAAGGACCAAGUAUGCAUGGACUGAAACUAGGAGUUAAGAUGAGUCUUCCCUCCUGUUAAAUCGAUUAUCUCAGUGCUAAGGAUUGAACCCAGGAAUCAUCAUAUGUGUUAAUGUGUUAGGGAGUCGAACUCAGGACCUGCGGUUGUCAGGGAGGUGCAGCGACACUGAGCUACAUCCUCGGCCCCAUUGCGAUACAACAUAACUAUGAAGCAGAGAACUAAGGAGCAUACAGGGUCACACAGCGGAGACUUUGAGAGUUGGUCCGGAAUCUGGCUGUUCUGCAGGCGGAGCUCAUGUUCCUAAACAUUGUAGUGUUGUACUUCAGAAUACUCUGAGCCAGAAGAUGGUUACAUGAGACUGAUUCUCUGAUUAUAAAGCUGGCAAGGUCUCAGAAAAACUAGAAAUGUUCCAGACAUCGCCAAAUGUUUGCUGUAGGGCAAAAUUGCCCCCAAUCAAGGACUCUUCAUCUAAAUAUAAGUGAUAUGCCUCAUCCUCCUCUUCAAGUUUUGCAUGUUGUAUGCACUUUUUUGAAACAUAUCACAGACAUGUGGAGGGAAGCUAACCUAACUCUAACUCUCUCAACUGCAUUCAGUGGAUCUCUAAAUGUGACUGAUUCGUUACAUGAUGGCAAAUGCAAAAUCCUAUCCGAAAGCAUGGAAUGGGGAAGGGAAGGUGAUGGUGAGGAGGAAGGUGAUGGUGAGGAGAUCACAGACGACUACAGGAGCUAUGCUGGUGAGGGGUGGCAAGGGGGCUGACUACUUCACACUUUUGUAACUCUGAUCCUUAACAAUAUGGUAUUUAUAUUUGCAACCGGGGUGAUGACUGAUUAUUAUAUUUA
This 1494-nucleotide long non-coding RNA is filed under the name Heterocephalus glaber (naked mole-rat). RNAcentral's name for it is "lncRNA (ENSHGLG00000039557.1)". The record is from RNAcentral. Lineage: Eukaryota; Metazoa; Chordata; Mammalia; Rodentia; Bathyergidae.